Molecule: ribosomal RNA, 557 nt
Filed under: Paracremonium inflatum
Lineage: Eukaryota; Fungi; Ascomycota; Sordariomycetes; Hypocreales; Nectriaceae
Description: eukaryotic LSU rRNA
Rfam family: 5.8S ribosomal RNA (bases 187-340)
Source: RNAcentral
CNUCCGUAGGUGAACCUGCGGAGGGAUCAUUACCGAGUUUACAACUCCCAAACCCCUGUGAACAUACCUAUCGUUGCUUCGGCGGGAUCGCCCCGGCGCCUUCGGCCCGGACCCAGGCGCCCGCCGGAGGACCCAAACUCUUGAAUUUAUGAUGUAUCUUCUGAGUGACACAAGCAAAUAAAUCAAAACUUUCAACAACGGAUCUCUUGGUUCUGGCAUCGAUGAAGAACGCAGCGAAAUGCGAUAAGUAAUGUGAAUUGCAGAAUUCAGUGAAUCAUCGAAUCUUUGAACGCACAUUGCGCCCGCCAGUAUUCUGGCGGGCAUGCCUGUUCGAGCGUCAUUUCGACCCUCAAGCCCCCGGGCUUGGUGCUGGGGAACGGCCGUCACUGGCCGGCCCCGAAAUCGAGUGGCGGUCUCGCUGUAGCCUCCUCUGCGUAGUAGCAACACCUCGCACUGGAACGCGGCGCGGCCACGCCGUUAAAUCCCGACUUCUGAAGGUUGACCUCGGAUCAGGUAGGAAUACCCGCUGAACUUAAGCAUAUCAAUAAGCGGAGGAA